Long non-coding RNA from Tetranychus urticae (two-spotted spider mite), 1262 nucleotides. RefSeq lists it as uncharacterized. The record is from RefSeq and is a predicted model, not a curated record. Lineage: Eukaryota; Metazoa; Arthropoda; Arachnida; Trombidiformes; Tetranychidae.
CUUUUCCUUCAUUUCAACUGUUCUUCAUUCCUUUCAUUUGAUUAGUUUAAUCAACCAAUGUAUCAGGGUUUGAUAUAAACGAAUCGAAAUUGACAGUUUUAAAGUUUGUAUAUCUCAAGUUAAUCUGGGAAUGAGUGGAUGAAUAAUCAUCACCAAGUCAACCUAGUCUUGAAUUUUCAAGAUCAUUGUGAUUCAUUCUGAAAUUUGUUUCGUCAAGCCUCACAUUUUUCAUGUUGUUUUUGUUCAACUGAAAAGAUAAAUUGCUUUGUUGUUUACUUGUCUCGUUAUUUUUAAAUUGAAUGAGUCACAAAAAUUGUUUAUCAACUCAUUAACAGUUUCGCCUUGACUUGCUUCAAUAUCAUGAUGAUUAUUAAUAUUAUUGUUAAAUUAAAACUAUGCAAUGUCAUUUUUAUAUUGCAUCUGAUUGAGGAAAAAAAGUGAAAUUUGUUUAGUAAAUAAUUUCAAGAUUAUCGAUGCUAAAUGGUUAAUCAUCCAGAAUUGCCCCAGUUCUGCCCAUUGUUUUAUUAUUACUCAUAUGUACGAUUAAUUUGAUUGAAAUGAAAAGGUCAUCAAGGUUAUUAACUAUUGUCACAUUGAUUAGUAAAUUAGGGAAAAAAGUAUUACAAUUAAAGUCUUUACCCUCCGAGUUUAGUCAUUUGUUUAUUGACAUGCAGUCCCCCACAUUUGAAUAUUACCGUUAAAAUAAAGAGACUAGGUUAAGUCAACUGCUAAAAUUACUCACGGAAAUUAUUAUUAAAUUAUUAGGACAUUAAUAUGAUUUUUAUUUUAAAUUUGUGUCUUUCAAUAAUCAUAAUUAUUAAUUUAUGUAUGUUAAUAUCAACCGGAAACAUCAUUUGUUUUGUUGAUUAAAGAGGAGGCUCCUAAAAAGAGAGGGAACCUCUUUUGGUUUCUCAUCUCUCACCAUUUUCAAUUCAAUGGUUCAACCUAAUAUAGAGUUUGUUAAUUGUCAACAAAUGAUGUUUGAUUACCGAUAUCACACGUUAGAUGGAGGAAGAGAAAUAGAGAGUUUUGUUUUCAAACCGACCUCAAUUGAGACUUAUUGAUGAUUAGUGAUAACUACCUCUUAAACACAUAAUUAUUAAUUAACAAAGUGACAAGUUGAUUACUUCAGAUUACCAGUUUCAAUCAAAUAAUGAAAUUAAUGUAACAAGUGGAGACAAAGCAGCUUCAACUUAACCGCAAAGAUUAUAAUGUCAUAGUUACCAGUAAAUUUUUAAAUAAAAGGCUUCAACUUAUUAUUA